AACGAACGCUGGCGGCAUGCCUAACACAUGCAAGUCGAACGAGACCUUCGGGUCUAGUGGCGCACGGGUGCGUCACGCGUGGGAACCUGCCCUUAGGUUCGGAAUAACUCCCCGACAGGGGUGCUAAUACCAGAUAAUGUCUUCGGACCACAGAUUUAUCGCCUUUGGAUGGGCCCGCGUUGGAUUAGCUAGUUGGUAGGGUAAAAGCCUACCAAGGCGACGAUCCAUAGCUGGUCUGAGAGGAUGAUCAGCCACACUGGGACUGAGACACGGCCCAGACUCCUACGGGAGGCAGCAGUGGGGAAUAUUGGACAAUGGGCGAAAGCCUGAUCCAGCAAUGCCGCGUGAGUGAUGAAGGCCUUAGGGUUGUAAAGCUCUUUUACCCGGGAUGAUAAUGACAGUACCGGGAGAAUAAGCUCCGGCUAACUCCGUG
Molecule: ribosomal RNA, 433 nt
Filed under: uncultured bacterium
Lineage: Bacteria
Description: partial 16S ribosomal RNA
Rfam family: Bacterial small subunit ribosomal RNA
Source: RNAcentral